This 174-nucleotide ribosomal RNA is filed under the name Crossandra greenstockii. RNAcentral's name for it is "5.8S ribosomal RNA". The stretch from base 9 to 161 matches the Rfam family "5.8S ribosomal RNA". Rfam says of the family: 5.8S ribosomal RNA (5.8S rRNA) is a component of the large subunit of the eukaryotic ribosome. It is transcribed by RNA polymerase I as part of the 45S precursor that also contains 18S and 28S rRNA. The record is from RNAcentral. Lineage: Eukaryota; Viridiplantae; Streptophyta; Magnoliopsida; Lamiales; Acanthaceae.
GUCAAAAUGACUCUCAGCAAUGGAUAUCUCGGCUCUCGCAUCGACGAAGAACGUAGUAAAAUCCAAUACUUGGUGUGAAUUGCAUAAUCCGAUGAACCGAGUCUUUGAGUGCAAGUAAUGCCCGAAGACAUCCGGCCGAGGGCACGUCUGCCUGGGCGUCACGCAUCGUGUCGC